This 467-nucleotide ribosomal RNA is filed under the name uncultured bacterium. Its description in RNAcentral is "partial 16S ribosomal RNA". It matches the Rfam family "Bacterial small subunit ribosomal RNA", at positions 28 to 507 of the family's 1533-position model. The record is from RNAcentral.
GACGAACGCUGGCGGCGUGCUUAACACAUGCAAGUCGAACGGAAAGGCCCUGCUUUUGUGGGGUGCUCGAGUGGCGAACGGGUGAGUAACACGUGAGUAACCUGCCCUUGACUUUGGGAUAACUUCAGGAAACUGGGGCUAAUACCGGAUAGGAGCUCCUGCUGCAUGGUGGGGUUUGAAAAUUUGCGCGGUUGGGGUUGGGCUUACGGCUUUUCAGGCUGUUGGUGGGGUUGUGGCCUAACAAGGCUUUGCCGGGUAGCCCGCCUGAGAAGGUGUACGGCCACAAUGGGACUGAGAGACGGCCCAGAAUGCUAAGGGAGGCAACAGGGGGGAAUAUUGCAAAAUGGGCGGAAGCCUGAGGCAGAAACCGCGGGAGCGGGAAGACGGGCUUCGGGGUGUAAACCGCUUUGGCCUGUGACGAAGAGUGAGUGACGGUAAUGGGUAAAGAAGCACCGGCUAACUACGUG